This 688-nucleotide ribosomal RNA is filed under the name uncultured bacterium. RNAcentral's name for it is "bacterial SSU rRNA". It matches the Rfam family "Bacterial small subunit ribosomal RNA", at positions 60 to 719 of the family's 1533-position model. The record is from RNAcentral.
AGCCGAACGCUUCUUUUUCCACCGGAGCUUGCUCCACCGGAAAAAGAAGAGUGGCGAACGGGUGAGUAACACGUGGGUAACCUGCCCAUCAGAAGGGGAUAACACUUGGAAACAGGUGCUAAUACCGUAUAACAAUCAAAACCGCAUGGUUUUGAUUUGAAAGGCGCUUUCGGGUGUCGCUGAUGGAUGGACCCGCGGUGCAUUAGCUAGUUGGUGAGGUAACGGCUCACCAAGGCCACGAUGCAUAGCCGACCUGAGAGGGUGAUCGGCCACAUUGGGACUGAGACACGGCCCAAACUCCUACGGGAGGCAGCAGUAGGGAAUCUUCGGCAAUGGACGAAAGUCUGACCGAGCAACGCCGCGUGAGUGAAGAAGGUUUUCGGAUCGUAAAACUCUGUUGUUAGAGAAGAACAAGGAUGAGAGUAACUGUUCAUCCCUUGACGGUAUCUAACCAGAAAGCCACGGCUAACUACGUGCCAGCAGCCGCGGUAAUACGUAGGUGGCAAGCGUUGUCCGGAUUUAUUGGGCGUAAAGCGAGCGCAGGCGGUUUCUUAAGUCUGAUGUGAAAGCCCCCGGCUCAACCGGGGAGGGUCAUUGGAAACUGGGAGACUUGAGUGCAGAAGAGGAGAGUGGAAUUCCAUGUGUAGCGGUGAAAUGCGUAGAUAUAUGGAGGAACACCAGUGGCGAA